UACGUAGGGAGCAAGCGUUGUCCGGAAUCAUUGGGCGUAAAGAGCUUGUAGGCGGUUUGUCGCGUCUGCUGUGAAAUCUCAAGGCUCAACCUUGAGCUUGCAGUGGGUACGGGCAGACUAGAGUGUGGUAGGGGAGACUGGAAUUCCUGGUGUAGCGGUGAAAUGCGCAGAUAUCAGGAGGAACACCGAUGGCGAAGGCAGGUCUCUGGGCCACUACUGACGCUGAGAAGCGAAAGCAUGGGGAGCGAACAGG
Molecule: ribosomal RNA, 253 nt
Filed under: uncultured bacterium
Lineage: Bacteria
Description: partial 16S ribosomal RNA
Rfam family: Bacterial small subunit ribosomal RNA
Source: RNAcentral